Molecule: ribosomal RNA, 449 nt
Filed under: uncultured bacterium
Lineage: Bacteria
Description: partial 16S ribosomal RNA
Rfam family: Bacterial small subunit ribosomal RNA
Source: RNAcentral
AACGAACGCUGGCGGCAGGCCUAACACAUGCAAGUCGAACGCUGUAGCAAUACAGAGUGGCAGACGGGUGAGUAACGCGUGGGAACCUUCCCAAUGGCGCGGAAUAGCCCAGGGAAACUUGGGGUAAUACCGCAUAAGCCCUUAGGGGGAAAGAUUUAUCGCCAUUGGAUGGGCCCGCGUCGGAUUAGCUAGUUGGUGAGGUAAUGGCUCACCAAGGCAACGAUCCGUAGCUGGUUUGAGAGAAUGACCAGCCACACUGGGACUGAGACACGGCCCAGACUCCUACGGGAGGCAGCAGUGGGGAAUCUUGGACAAUGGGCGCAAGCCUGAUCCAGCCAUGCCGCGUGAGUGACGAAGGCCUUAGGGUUGUAAAGCUCUUUUGCCGGGGACGAUAAUGACGGUACCCGGAGAAUAAGUCCCGGCUAACUUCGUGCCAGCAGCCGCCGUAA